Cygnus olor (mute swan) is the source of this 2578-nucleotide long non-coding RNA. RefSeq lists it as uncharacterized. The record is from RefSeq and is a predicted model, not a curated record. The transcript is spliced from 5 exons. NCBI's taxonomy places the organism in Eukaryota, Metazoa, Chordata, Aves, Anseriformes, Anatidae.
AGCCCAGUGGAGGUGCGCAGGUGCUGCUUUUCCGCCUAAUCCUCCCCUCUCCUUCCUUCCUCAUUACUAGCAUGUUUAUUUAGGAGGACGCUAGCAGUGGGUGCGAAAGUCAAGUGUAAUGGCCUGUGGAUGCAAAGGUGAUGUUUGCUUUGUGCCAGCUGGGAAGCUAGGUGAGCUGUAGGCUGUUGGACGUGCCUUGUGGUCAGUGAAUUCCCCACCUGAGCCUUGUCACAGGGCCGUGGGUUGCUGGGCUCUGCUGAAAUGCUGCUUGUAGAGUUCUGAGGGAAAUGUUCUGAGGCCAGGAGAAGAGUAAAUAACCUGCCAGCCUUGAAAACCUCAGCUGCACAUGCCCAGCUGAAUGUCAAUACAUCUGGAAGUGUAUAGAGUUCAGGAACUAGCUGCGUAACCAGUCACCUUGAAUACAGAGGCAGCACCACAGGAAUUCUCUUUCUGAAGAAAAACAAGACAACGGACCUCACGUUGCUGUUGGGACUUCAAAGAUCACGACGCAGCCAGACCCGGGCACCUUGCCAGCAUUAAUGGUUGCAGCCACCCAGCACCUCCACAAGCAGCACGGCCUGGCAUCCCUGGCGCCGGUGGGGACGCGGGGUGGUGACGGGAGCCAUGGCCUGCCUGCCACCCUCCUGUGAGCGCAUGGCAGGGCUCGCUGGAGCACGGCCGCCUUUCCGUAAAGCAGCACCUGGAGACGCCUGCUCUCAGCUGCGGUCCAGAUGCACCCGAGGUGCCUGAGCUCCAGUGCACUGGUGGCCCCCGCCUCUCCCCAGGAGCUGCUGCAGCAAGUGUCACAGCACUCACUGCUGUCCCCUGCCCUGACCCCCUGCUGCUGGGGCCAGCCAGCCCCCGCAGGGCAAGGGCCAGUGCGCUGCUUGCUCCUGGGGGCAUGCAGGUGGCUGCCGAGGAACAGCAAUGGGGUGCAAUGGUGUCUGGAAGGGCAGGGAGGGCCAGCCCCAGAUCCUCACCCCUCGUGUUUAUCUGCUGCACAUGGCUGUACGUAGGCAUGGACCUCAGUGCUGCUGGAUUUCAGAGCUGGUUAUCCAUCGGCACUUUGGGGCUGUUUGUACUGGUAAAUGUACAUGGCAGGGAAUAAGACCUACUAGUGAUUCCACACGGUAGAAACCCUUUGCCAUAAUAAAGGAUGAGGUGCGACUAGUAGUAUUCAAUUAGCUUCAUCUAGUUAUCAGUGCAGACAAGUAAUGGCUGGAGUGGCUUGAGCAGUUUUAGUUGUUUCCUUCUCCACUGUGCCUGUGAGAGGAGCAAGGCAGGGCAGACAGAUCCCAGCCCGGUGCCACGUGGCUCAGCCCCAUGAAACUAUGCAGCUGUGUCAAUCCAGAGCAGCUCAGAACUCAGCCGGCACUUCUCAAAUCGCAUUCAAGGCUUUUUCGGUAGCUUUAUGUAGUUAAUUAACUGUGUAACAGUUGUUUGAAUCAUUUCGUCUUACCCUUGUUGUUGUGUUUCUCUACUCUUUGAGAAGAUACUUUCGGCCAGUACCCAAAAUAUAUUUUUGAAAGAGGCUGAGUGGUGAAGGAAGGUGUCACAUUAGGAUCAGGUGAUUUAUACGCUGCUGAUUAAGUUUAAAUAAUUGAAAAGUACUGGUAUUCUAUGACUUUCUUCUUACCUACUUACUUGAGAUUAAUCAUUUGUUUUUCAGCCUACAGUUUUCCUUCUAGAUUUUGCUCCCAGAUUUUUCCUCCAGGGUUCUGCCACGUACUUUAGAUUUACUAGGGAUUACUCUUAAGCAUGGCAUGUCGAAAGAUUUGUGAGAAACCUGAGAAUAAGAUAAAUGUGAGAUUAUGAGAGACAGCAUCUUCACAGCAACUGUAUCUUUCAGACAGCAAUCAGACCCACUGAAAGGCAGAGAAACCUUAGGCCAAGUUUCAGCUCAGUCUCACGUAACUGAGCAAACCUCAGAGACUGAAAUUACUAAUAAUGAUAGUCAUCUGGAGUUUUCCUGAGAAAUAAUUUGGAGUGAUCUUUGUUGUACUUAUCUGAAUCUUCACACCUCCCUUCCGUGGUACUGUCUGGGUUACCUUCUCCUCACACUGGAAAACAGGCUCCAUGAAAAAAUGAGUCACCAAUAAGAGAUGGGAAAACAUUGACAUAUAUCAUCAGCUCUCCAAGCCUGCUCUGUCCCAAGUGCUGACGGAUUAAAAGCCUGAUGGCCGAGGGAAGGCUGGCGGGGCGUGCAGGUGAGGCACCGUGGGGGGUGAAGGAUGCGUCCACAGCAUGGCUGGGCUCGGGCGCUGCAGGCGAUGCCUCAAAGGGCACGGGCUGUGGGCAGAGAGCAGGCACAGGGCAAGGAGCACGAGCACCCCUGCUGUGAGCACAAAAAGUGCGCUGUAACCUGUGGGUAAACCCCUAGGGUGGGUGGUGCGAGUCCAAGAGGACUUAAAGCAAGCUGGAAUAUCUGGUCACUGCUCUCUGCCAAAGCUCUGCAUCCUCUUCUGAUUUGUGUAUGAGUUGAACAAUGAACAUUGUUUUACCCCCAGAUUAAUAGCUGCUCAUUGCCAGUGUUUUGCAGCUAGACAGUAGGAAUGACUACGUAUCCCUGAUAUUAUGA